Molecule: ribosomal RNA, 829 nt
Filed under: uncultured fungus
Lineage: Eukaryota; Fungi
Description: eukaryotic LSU rRNA
Rfam family: Eukaryotic large subunit ribosomal RNA
Source: RNAcentral
CCCGCUGAACUUAAGCAUAUUAAUAAGGGGAGGAAAAGAAACUAACUAGGAUUCCCUCAGUAAUGGCGAAUGAAGUGGGAAUAGCUCAGGUUUAAAAUCUGGUAGCAAGUCUUGCUGCCCGAAUUGUAGUCUUUUGGAUGGUCAUAGGAGCGCACACUGGCACAAGUCCGUUGGAAUGCGGCGCCUUAGAGGGUGAGAGCCCCGUAGUUGGCCGGAUGAAAAUGUGCUCCGUAAAUUGAUCGUUCGUAGAGUCGGGUUGUUUGGGAAUGCAGCCUUAACUGCGAGGUAAAUUCCUUGCAAAGCUAAAUACAGGCAUGAGACCGAUAGCGAACAAGUAGAGUGAUCGAAAGAUGAAAAGAACUUUGAAAAGAGGGUUAAAAGUACGUGAAAUCGCUAAAAGGGAAGCGAUUGGGUUCAGUAUGGGCACGCCUCUGAAUCGUGUACCGUGUGGGUAUAAGAUGAUGCGUAGAAGUGUUGGUUAACACCGAUACAUGCGCGUCGUAUGAAGCCCUCGUUCGGUGCACUACUUUUGGGGCGUGCUAGUCAGCAUCGGUUCGCUUGCGUUGGCGACAGAAAAGCUGGGGAAUGGUAGGCCGCCUUAGGGUGGCUGAAUGCCCUGGUCGAUUGGUCGUCCGGUGGACUGAGGUGACUGGUAAAAGCCAGUCAGCAAAGGGGGUGCCUCAAGGCAGGGCUCUGACGCUUGCAGUGGUUGACGGGGUGUUGGACUAGUGCAGUACUAUACCCUGGCGGCUACUCCACGGGUGUCAAUCCGCUUACCUCCUCUUGAUGCGUGACAAAAUGUGCUCAAUCGACCCGUCUUGAAACACGG